This 157-nucleotide long non-coding RNA is filed under the name Prolemur simus (greater bamboo lemur). RNAcentral's name for it is "CDKN2B antisense RNA 1 convserved region 3 (ENSPSMG00000011497.1)". It matches the Rfam family "CDKN2B antisense RNA 1 convserved region 3". Lineage: Eukaryota; Metazoa; Chordata; Mammalia; Primates; Lemuridae. The record is from RNAcentral.
UUGGAUGAGAAGAAUGAGCCUCAUUCUGAUUCAACGGCAGAGAUCAAAUAAAAGACUUCUGGUUUUCUUUUUUUUUUUUUUUUUGCCACCAGAUAUGUUUCUGUGCUUACAGAACUGAAAAACACAUAUCAAAGGAGCAUUCCCUUGAAGAGAGAGG